This 256-nucleotide unclassified non-coding RNA is filed under the name Hevea brasiliensis (rubber tree). Lineage: Eukaryota; Viridiplantae; Streptophyta; Magnoliopsida; Malpighiales; Euphorbiaceae. The record is from RNAcentral.
UGAUGAUGAUGAUGAUGAUAAUUCGUAUUAUGUUUUAAAUCAUAGUUUUCAUCAUCACCCCGAAACAACAAAUUCAUUUCACAUACCCAAAAAUCAAAAACCCAAAUCCAAAUCUUUUUCAAUUUUCGGAUUACCCAAACGUAAAAAAAGCGAAAAAGAUGAGAAAGAAAAACAGAGGAAGCUGAAAUUCGAUGUAAGUGAAGUAUUGAAAAGGUAUAUGAGAAUGGUAAGACCCUUUUUAUCAUUUGGAAGCAGA